This 1240-nucleotide long non-coding RNA is filed under the name Mus musculus (house mouse). RNAcentral's name for it is "long non-coding RNA chr5:29787687-29788927". The record is from RNAcentral. Lineage: Eukaryota; Metazoa; Chordata; Mammalia; Rodentia; Muridae.
AAGAAAAGUUGCAAUAUAUGAAUUAAACAAGGUUUUACUUUGUUACUCAUUUGGGAGGUGAUCUAAUUUAUCCCAUCGACUUCCAAAUUAGUUCCAGCAUCCCUCCUUAAGGGUCUUCACUGUAGUAGAUUCUACUUGGCAUUUGGGACCAUCUGGUAUCCUCAGAUCUUGGUCUGGAACAGCUCCCACCACUUAUCAAUAUUUUCUGUCUCUGUUAUUCUGCCCUUAGAGAUACCACUGAGAAUGUCCAAAGGUGAUUCUUGGUCUAUAAAAAAACUGCUGCCCGACAUGUCCCUGUCAACUGACUUGCCUAGUGUGGUGCCACCCUAUCUGAGAGCCAUGAUGAAGAUAGUGGGGCUUAAGAGGCUGUCAAAUAUGUGGUAGGCUCCAUGUGAACAAGCUAUGUGCAUCUCCAGUGGUCCAAGAUUGAGAGGAGUGCCUGGGGCUCUGACAAUGGUCUCUCUAUGCUGUCUUGGUAGUGCCAUGGAGCUUUCUUUCUCUAGGCAGGUGGGUGGCAUAGCCUUCCUUAGGAGUGCCUGACAGUAUUUCAUGCUCUCCAUCUCAGUAAAGGGUACUUCUCCAUCACUAUGUUGCCUCUUAAACCCAGGGCUGCCAGUCAGUGGUGGGUAGCUCCUAGGCAACAAUCAAUGGCUUGCCAGCUGAGCUGGGUACCCGGCAGCACUUGGAAGAGCCAAGCCCUCCACUCACAGGACCCUGGCCACCCUUAAAAGUAAAAAGUCAGAACACUUCUCGUCCAUAGGUGGAGAACAGAUGACAGGCUGAGGCAGGAGGUCUGAGUCUGGGCUUUGGCUGAACAUUGUAGAAAGCCUGGGGACCAGGAAGGCUUUACUGUACAUGGCUUCUGUGUCUAGGUGACUGGGGGACUUUGGAAAGUGGAGGAGUGGGAGUGAGAAGGAACUGAGGUUACAGUUGUGACGAAAGGAUAUGCCCCAGGGAAACCCAGAGGUCUGCCAUGUACUUAUAACAAGGUGAAGCCAGUCCUAGCCCUGCUGUGUCCCUCUGUAAUGGGUGGGAUCUGUGUAGGUUUGCUCUGCUGCACUUAGCCCCUGUUCAUCUCAUCCCUUUUUCUUAUGAGCCAAGUAAAAACCACAGAAGCUGGGUGGUAGUGGCCCAUGCCUUUAAUCCCAGUACAGAGUUGGAGGUCAUCCUGAGUUCCAGGACAGCCAAGGCUACACAGAGAAACUCUGUCCCUGCCUCACCCUGUCACUCACCCCUCUCC